RNAcentral lists this transfer RNA (73 nucleotides) under Actinoplanes italicus. It matches the Rfam family "tRNA". From Rfam's summary of the family: Transfer RNA (tRNA) molecules are approximately 80 nucleotides in length. Their secondary structure includes four short double-helical elements and three loops (D, anti-codon, and T loops). Lineage: Bacteria; Bacillati; Actinomycetota; Actinomycetes; Micromonosporales; Micromonosporaceae. The record is from Rfam by way of RNAcentral.
UCCGACGUCGCCCAAUCGGCAGGGCAACGGCCUGUUAAGCCGUCCGGUGAUGGUUCGAGUCCAUCCGUCGGAG